This 460-nucleotide ribosomal RNA is filed under the name uncultured bacterium. Its description in RNAcentral is "partial 16S ribosomal RNA". It matches the Rfam family "Bacterial small subunit ribosomal RNA", at positions 338 to 795 of the family's 1533-position model. The record is from RNAcentral.
CCUACGGGAGGCAGCAGUGAGGAAUAUUGGUCAAUGGACGAGAGUCUGAACCAGCCAAGUAGCGUGAAGGAUGACUGCCCUAUGGGUUGUAAACCUCUUUUAUCUGGGAACAAAACAGGGUACGCAUACCCGCAUGUAUGUACCAUAUGAAUAAGGAUCGGCUAACUCCGUGCCAGCAGCCGCGGUAAUACGGAGGAUUCGAGCGUUAUCCGGAUUUAUUGGGUUUAAAGGGAGCGGAGGGGGAUGGUUAAGGCAGUUGUGAAAGUUUGCGGCUCAACCGUAAACAUGCAGUUGAAACUGGCAGUCUUGAGUACGGGAGAAGUAGGCGGAAUGCGUGGUGUAGCGGUGAAAUGCUUAGAUAUCACGAAGAACUCCGAUUGCGAAGGCAGCAUACUGGCCUGCAACUGACGCUGAUGCACGAAAGCGUGGGUAUCGAACAGGAUUAGAUACCCUUGUAGUC